UUUUUCUCGAAAUAAGCAAAUUGAUUUCAUGCGAUAAAACAGAUUAAAGUUAGACUAAAGUCAUUCAUUUUUUCUCGUAAUAUUACUCAAACAAAAAUAUCACUCAAACCAAACAUAUGAAAAAUACUGAAAUGAGUUAAUGGGUGGGAUUGUCCUGUCAGCCAAGCUGCAACAUCUGCUUGGCUGAGGGAGGGAGGGAUGGAGGGACAAUCUCACCUAAAACAGUCCAAAAAAAUUUCAAACAAAUGUAAAAAUGGUUUAAAAUAAAUAUUAUAUUGUUCUGGGCGGCAAAGUUAAAAUGAUCCACACAUAGCAAACUAAAGGAAGUUGAGCUUUUAAUAUGAUCCCUUUUAAUAUCAGCCUUGAUAUCACAUAAAAUAGAAUUUUACACGUCCCAGAUUCUUACAGGGCUUCAGGAAACGCAGGUAAGUACCUUGUAACUCGUGGAAUUGUAAGGAUUUGUUAUCGCUCCUGCAGCACUUCUACUUCACUGUACUUAAAACAUUAUUUUGUCUUUGAGUUUGUCGUUAUGAGUGGCUCCCAGCUGUCCGGAGGGAGGCCCUGGAGCUCAAAAAUAUCACCAGUGGACCAGGCACCCCCCCCCCACAAACCGUGUGCCACGCAAAAAGCCGGACAGACAACAAGCCUGACAGACAGAGAGGCUAUGGGAGGGGUUGAAGAUGGACCUGGAAUGGAUGGGCCUAGUGACACUGGCGAGGCCGAGUGCAGAAGCGACAUUCAAUCAUUUUGAGAUGGACCCGAGCAUUUUGUAAGUACAAUUUAUAAAUUGAAUUGCAUGCACACCAUAAACAGUUGAUGGAACUUAUAAUGUGAAAACCAUGUAUGUGACUAAUGCUGCUGCUCUUUUCUCACUUGGCCUGUGUCGGGUUGAGGGUCUGCAUGGAGAGUUCAACUGAAGUGAAUCAGUAGCAGCUCUACUCUGCGACUCAUAUCUGUAAGUAGAGUUUAUUCUUAACGUUUGGACUCGUGUCUUCUGUUGGUGAUUAAAUGCACAGUUGGUUCAUGUUGUUUUAUCGUAACAUUUUCCUUUUUAUCUUUACAGCAGUCUACUUUGAAAGAGUCUACUUCUUCUGCAAAUGGAGAGUUCAACACAACAAAGACACGACUGUUGCUGUCAGUCAUCCAGCUGGAGACAGGACUCACUUCCAAAGCAAAGAAAGGAUUUUCUGCAGAACUCCCGAUGCAAACCCCAAAGACAGCUAACCCCUUCUUCAGGACCAAGAACAGGUUAACUCCAGGCAGUCACUGCCCUUUGUCACCUGGCUACUCACUGGCGAGUCACUCAUGAACCAGAGACUCCCAAAACCCUCCCACUAACCACAUACACACACACACACGUGUCGCAUGCUCAGCCGUCCUGGUAGGGGAUCUCUCUUUGACUUGGCCUACCUAAAGGUUUCUCCUUUUUCCCCUAAUAAGGGUUUUAAAGAGUUUUUCCUUUAAUGCUUGGAGAGUCUAAGGCUGAUGAUGCAAGACACACAAAUGUGUGAUAGUCUGAUGGGACCCAAAGUUGAGCUUUGUUUUCAUGUUAGUUUUAUGCUUUGAUAUUUUCAUGUAAUAAAAUGUAAAUGAAGUGACUAAAAAAAUGUAUCAUGUCUGAUUAACCAAGAGGUACGUGGGCAUUACAAAUGGUUUGACUCAAAGGUUUACAUGGUGGAGCAUGUCGUAGCAACUCAAGUAAUCAACUGAGUGU
RNAcentral lists this long non-coding RNA (1714 nucleotides) under Gadus morhua (Atlantic cod). RNAcentral describes it as "lncRNA (ENSGMOG00000025749.1)". The record is from RNAcentral. Lineage: Eukaryota; Metazoa; Chordata; Actinopteri; Gadiformes; Gadidae.